Molecule: ribosomal RNA, 253 nt
Filed under: uncultured bacterium
Lineage: Bacteria
Description: partial 16S ribosomal RNA
Rfam family: Bacterial small subunit ribosomal RNA
Source: RNAcentral
GACGUAGGAUGCAAGCGUUGUCCGGAUUUAUUGGGCGUAAAGAGUUCGUAGGCGGUUCGUUAAGUCUGAUGUUAAAGACUGGGGCUCAACCCCGGGAGUGCAUUGGAUACUGGCGGACUGGAGUGUGGUAGAGGCUAGUGGAAUUCCCAGUGUAGCGGUGAAAUGCGUAGAUAUUGGGAAGAACACCAGUGGCGUAGGCGGCGUUCUGGACUGCAACUGACACUGAUGAACGAAAGCCAGGGGAGCAAACGGG